This 418-nucleotide long non-coding RNA is filed under the name Pan troglodytes (chimpanzee). RNAcentral's name for it is "long non-coding RNA NONPTRT010471". The record is from RNAcentral. Lineage: Eukaryota; Metazoa; Chordata; Mammalia; Primates; Hominidae.
CUAAAUUGCUCUUCAUGACUAAUAUAUUUAUCUUUAAAAAUUAUUUUGAAAUUUUAGAUUUACAAAAAAGUUAUAAAAAAUUAAAAGAGUCUUCUUGUGUCUUCAGUUAGCUCCCACAAAUGUUAACAUCUCAUAUAUCCGGGAAGCAUCAUUAGAAAAACUCUAAAAUGAUUGAAAUGAGACCUUGAUUUGUGAAUUAUAAUUUACUUUUCUAAAUAAGAAUUAGUCAUUUGAGCUUAGCUUUUUGUUGUAUAGAAAAAAAAAUUAAAAAACGGUUUAAAAAUCCAAAAUAGAUGAUAACGUGGUUGAAUACCAUAUAUUUGUCAAAUAUUUGACAAAAACCCUGUUUCUUAUGCCAAGCUGUCAAAACAAGGAACUUCUUGUACACUUCUUGUACACUUAACAACACCUCUCAUUU